This 142-nucleotide small nucleolar RNA is filed under the name Dasypus novemcinctus (nine-banded armadillo). Its description in RNAcentral is "Small nucleolar RNA SNORA38 (ENSDNOG00000035679.1)". It matches the Rfam family "Small nucleolar RNA SNORA38". Rfam says of the family: ACA38 is a member of the H/ACA class of snoRNA that guide the sites of modification of uridines to pseudouridines. Lineage: Eukaryota; Metazoa; Chordata; Mammalia; Cingulata; Dasypodidae. The record is from RNAcentral.
ACCUCCAUAGUGUGAUAAGGUUUAAAUAAAAUAUCACAUACAUCCUUGGACACAUAAGAAUUGGAGGCGAAGAGAUGUGGACUUGGAGAAAUCUAGAGCCAGCUCGUUUUCUGCAGGCUCAAGAUCACCUUUUCCCCCACAC